UGGGGAAUAUUGCGCAAUGGGGGGAACCCUGACGCAGCCAUGCCGCGUGAAUGAAGAAGGCCUUCGGGUUGUAAAGUUCUUUCGGUGAUGAGGAAGGUAUAAUGGUUAAUACCCGUUAUAAUUGACGUUAAUUACAGAAGAAGCACCGGCUAACUCCGUGCCAGCAGCCGCGGUAAUACGGAGGGUGCGAGCGUUAAUCGGAAUAACUGGGCGUAAAGGGCACGCAGGCGGUUAUUUAAGUGAGGUGUGAAAGCCCCGGGCUUAACCUGGGAAUUGCAUUUCAGACUGUAUAACUAGAGUACUUUAGGGAGGGGUAGAAUUCCACGUGUAGCGGUGAAAUGCGUAGAGAUGUGGAGGAAUACCGAAGGCGAAGGCAGCCCCUUGGGAAUGUACUGACGCUCAUGUGCGAAAGCGUGGGGAGCAAACAGG
This 429-nucleotide ribosomal RNA is filed under the name Pasteurellaceae bacterium enrichment culture. RNAcentral describes it as "bacterial SSU rRNA". It matches the Rfam family "Bacterial small subunit ribosomal RNA", at positions 355 to 776 of the family's 1533-position model. Lineage: Bacteria; Pseudomonadati; Pseudomonadota; Gammaproteobacteria; Pasteurellales; Pasteurellaceae. The record is from RNAcentral.